This 177-nucleotide non-coding RNA is filed under the name uncultured Alistipes sp. The record is from RNAcentral. Lineage: Bacteria; Pseudomonadati; Bacteroidota; Bacteroidia; Bacteroidales; Rikenellaceae.
UAUCGGUUCCCGUCGCGAUCGGACAUCGCAGUGGGAUGAAAAGGGAACCUUGUGGGAAUCAAGGACUACCCCCGUAGCUGUAAGUUUCCAGACGAUGGUGCAUUCUUUUGCCACUGAGGCUCAUAACCCGGGAAGGCGCUCCAUUCGAAACGAGUCAGAAGACCUGCCAUAUCAGAC